UAGGGAAUCUUCGGCAAUGGGGGGAACCCUGACCGAGCAACGCCGCGUGAGUGAAGAAGGUUUUCGGAUCGUAAAGCUCUGUUGUUAAGGAAGAACGAGUGUGAGAAUGGAAAGUUCAUACUGUGACGGUACUUAACCAGAAAGGGACGGCUAACUACGUGCCAGCAGCCGCGGUAAUACGUAGGUCCCGAGCGUUGUCCGGAUUUAUUGGGCGUAAAGCGAGCGCAGGCGGUUAGAUAAGUCUGAAGUUAAAGGCAGUGGCUCAACCAUUGUAGGCUUUGGAAACUGUUUAACUUGAGUGCAGAAGGGGGUAGUGGAAUUCCAUGUGUAGCGGUGAAAUGCGUAGAUAUAUGGUGGAACACCGGUGGCGAAAGCGGCUCUCUGGUCUGUAACUGACGCUGAGGCUCGAAAGCGUGGGGAGCGAACAGG
This 429-nucleotide ribosomal RNA is filed under the name Bacteroidota bacterium. RNAcentral's name for it is "Bacteroidetes bacterium partial 16S ribosomal RNA". It matches the Rfam family "Bacterial small subunit ribosomal RNA", at positions 355 to 776 of the family's 1533-position model. Lineage: Bacteria; Pseudomonadati; Bacteroidota. The record is from RNAcentral.